UAGUCCACGCCGUAAACGAUGAGCACUAGUUGUGGCGGGUAUUGACCCCUGCCGCGACGUAGCUAACGCAUUAAGUGCUCCGCCUGGGGAGUACGGUCGCAAGACUAAAACUCAAAGGAAUUGACGGGGGCCCGCACAAGCGGUGGAUCAUGUGGUUUAAUUCGAAGCAACGCGCAAAACCUUACCUGGGCUUAAAAUCCUGAGAAUCUGCUAGAGAUAGCGGAGUGCCUUUCGGGGAAUUCAGUGAUAGGCGCUGCAUGGCUGUCGUCAGCUCGUGUUGUGAAAUGUUGGGUUAAGUCUCGCAACGAGCGCAACCCCUAUCCUUAGUUGCCAGCAUUAAGUUGGGCACUCUAGGGAGACUGCCUGGGGUUAACCAGGAGGAAGGUGGGGAUGACGUCAAGUCCUCAUGGCCCUUAUGUCCAGGGCUACACACGUGAUACAAUGGAUGGUACAGAGGGAUGCGAAGUCGCGAGGCCAAGCAAAUCUCAAAAGCCAUUCUC
Molecule: ribosomal RNA, 500 nt
Filed under: uncultured bacterium
Lineage: Bacteria
Description: bacterial SSU rRNA
Rfam family: Bacterial small subunit ribosomal RNA
Source: RNAcentral